Molecule: long non-coding RNA, 237 nt
Filed under: Felis catus (domestic cat)
Lineage: Eukaryota; Metazoa; Chordata; Mammalia; Carnivora; Felidae
Description: lncRNA (ENSFCAG00000047873.1)
Source: RNAcentral
CUGUACCCACUGCCUUAGAGACUCCCCUGCCUGGGAAACCAAGACGACAUGCCCUCAGGGGCAGCGCCUUCCGUGGCCCAGCGAUGGAUGAUGUGGGAAGAGCUACAUUUGCCCUGGCACAGGCACCCUAGCACCAGGAGAACCAGAUAUGGCCUCACCUGGAUGCAGACUUUCCCCAUCCUGCCACCUCAUCACUCACCUUGGACCCUGAAUCCCCAAGAGACUUCUAUUGGCUGA